UACGUAGGGGGCAAGCGUUGUCCGGAUUUAUUGGGCGUAAAGAGCGUGUAGGCGGUUUGGUAGGUCCGCUGUGAAAACUCGAGGCUCAACCUUGAAUGCCGGUGGAUACUGCAGGGCUAGAGUCCGGAAGAGGCGAGUGGAAUUCCUGGUGUAGCGGUGAAAUGCGCAGAUAUCAGGAGGAACACCGGUGGCGAAGGCGGGUCUCUGGGCCGAAAUUGACGCUGGAGGAAGCGAAAGCGUGGGGAGCAAACAGG
Molecule: ribosomal RNA, 254 nt
Filed under: uncultured bacterium
Lineage: Bacteria
Description: partial 16S ribosomal RNA
Rfam family: Bacterial small subunit ribosomal RNA
Source: RNAcentral